CAACUUUCAGCAACGGAUCUCUAGGCUCUCGCAUCGAUGAAGAACGCAGCGAAAUGCGAUAAGUAAUGUGAAUUGCAGAAUUCAGUGAAUCAUCGAAUCUUUGAACGCACCUUGCGCUCCUUGGUAUUCCGAGGAGCAUGCCUGUUUGAGUGUCAUUU
Molecule: ribosomal RNA, 158 nt
Filed under: Cortinarius sp.
Lineage: Eukaryota; Fungi; Basidiomycota; Agaricomycetes; Agaricales; Cortinariaceae
Also listed under: 2 other names
Description: 5.8S ribosomal RNA
Rfam family: 5.8S ribosomal RNA
About the family: 5.8S ribosomal RNA (5.8S rRNA) is a component of the large subunit of the eukaryotic ribosome. It is transcribed by RNA polymerase I as part of the 45S precursor that also contains 18S and 28S rRNA.
Source: RNAcentral